This 918-nucleotide ribosomal RNA is filed under the name Sutcliffiella cohnii. RNAcentral's name for it is "bacterial SSU rRNA". It matches the Rfam family "Bacterial small subunit ribosomal RNA", at positions 160 to 1118 of the family's 1533-position model. Lineage: Bacteria; Bacillati; Bacillota; Bacilli; Caryophanales; Bacillaceae. The record is from RNAcentral.
GAGCUAAUACCGGAUAAUAUAUAGUACCUCCUGGUACUAUAUUGAAAGUUGGUUUCGGCUAACACUUACAGAUGGGCCCGCGGCGCAAUAACUAGUUGGUGAGGUAACGGCUCACCAAGGGAACCAUGCUAACCCACCUGAAGGGUGAUCGGCCACCUGGGACUGAAACACGGCCCAAACUCCUACCGGAGGCAGCAGUAGGGAAUCUUCCACAAUGGACGAAAGUCUGAUGGAACAACCCCCCGUGAGCGAUGAAAGGCUUCGGUCCUAAAGCUCUGUUGUUAGGGAAAAACAAGUGCGAAAGUAACUGCUCCCACCUUGACGGUACCUAACCAGAAAGCCACGGCUAACUACCUGCCAGCAGCCGCGGUAAUACCUAGUGGCAAGCGUUGUCCGGAAUUAUUGGGCGUAAAGCGCGCGCAGGCGGUUUCUUAAGUCUGAUGUGAAAGCCCACGGCUCAACCGUGGAGGGUCAUUGGAAACUGGGAGACUUGAAUGCAGAAGAAGAGAGUGGAAUUCCACGUGUAGCGGUGAAAUGCGUAGAGAUGUGGAGGAACACCAGUGGCGAAGGCGACUCUCUGGUCUGUAACUGACGCUGAAGCGCGAAAGCGUGGGGAGCAAACAGGAUUAGAUACCCUGGUAGUCCACGCCGUAAACGAUGAGUGCUAAGUGUAGAGGGUUUCCGCCCUUUAAUGCUGCAGCUAACGCAUAAGCACUCCGCCUGGGGAGUACGGUCGCAAGACUGAAACUCAAAGAAUUGACGGGGCCGCACAAGCGGUGGAGCAUGUUAAUCGAAGCAACGGAGACCUACAGUCUGACAUCCUCUGCCACCUCUAGAGAUAGAGUCCCUCGGACAGAUGACAGGUGGUGCAUGGUCGUCAGCUUACUAUGGUGUCCCGCAGCACCUGUCUAUUGCUCA